CUGUCCUACGGGGGGCAGCAGUGGGGAAUAUUGCACAAUGGGGGGAACCCUGAUGCAGCGACGCCGCGUGGGUGAAGAAGUCAUUCGUGACGUAAAGCCCUAUCAGCAGGGAAGAAAAUGACGGUACCUGACUAAGAAGCCCCGGCUAACUACGUGCCAGCAGCCGCGGUAAUACGUAGGUGGCAAGCGUUGUCCGGAUUUACUGGGUGUAAGGGGCGUGCAGCCGGGAGUGCAAGUCAGAUGUGAAAUCCCGCGGCUCAACCGCGGAACUGCAUUUGAAACUGUGCUUCUUGAGUGCUGGAGAG
Molecule: ribosomal RNA, 305 nt
Filed under: uncultured bacterium
Lineage: Bacteria
Description: bacterial SSU rRNA
Rfam family: Bacterial small subunit ribosomal RNA
Source: RNAcentral